This 253-nucleotide ribosomal RNA is filed under the name uncultured bacterium. RNAcentral's name for it is "partial 16S ribosomal RNA". It matches the Rfam family "Bacterial small subunit ribosomal RNA", at positions 524 to 776 of the family's 1533-position model. The record is from RNAcentral.
CACGGGGGGAGCAAGCGUUGUUCGGAAUUACUGGGCGUAAAGGGCGUGUGGGCGGUCAGGUAAGUGGGAUGUGAAAUGCCCCGGCUCACCCGGGGAUCUGCAUCCGAAACUGCGUGACUUGAGUAUGGGAGAGGAGGAGGGAAUUCCUGGUGUAGCGGUGAAAUGCGUAGAUAUGAGGAGGAACACCGGUGGCGAAGGCGCUCAUCUGGCCCAAUACUGACGCUGAGGCGCGAAAGCGAGGGGAGCAAACGGG